UGGGGAAUUUUGCACAAUGGGGGAAACCCUGAUGCAGCGACGCCGCGUGAUUUAGAAGGCCUUCGGGUUGUAAAAAUCUUUUCUAUGGGAAGAAAAUGACAGUACCAUAGGAAUAAGGACCGGCUAAUUACGUGCCAGCAGCCGCGGUAAUACGUAAGGUCCGAGCGUUGUCCGGAAUCAUUGGGCGUAAAGGGUACGUAGGCGGGUAAGCAAGUUAGAAGUGAAAUCCUAUAGCUCAACUAUAGUAAGCUUUUAAAACUGCUCAUCUUGAGGUAUGGAAGGGAAAGUGGAAUUCCUAGUGUAACGGUGAAAUGCGCAGAUAUUAGGAGGAAUACCGGUGGCGAAGGCGACUUUCUGGCCAUAACCUGACGCUGAGGUACGAAAGCGUGGGUAGCAAACAGG
Molecule: ribosomal RNA, 402 nt
Filed under: bacterium
Lineage: Bacteria
Also listed under: 1 other name
Description: partial 16S ribosomal RNA
Rfam family: Bacterial small subunit ribosomal RNA
Source: RNAcentral